UGGGAGGUGGCAUAGUGGCAAUAGCACUGGCCUUGGAAGCAUGAGGUCCUGAGUUCUAUUCUUAGCAUCUCUC
RNAcentral lists this transfer RNA (73 nucleotides) under Erinaceus europaeus (western European hedgehog). It matches the Rfam family "tRNA". From Rfam's summary of the family: Transfer RNA (tRNA) molecules are approximately 80 nucleotides in length. Their secondary structure includes four short double-helical elements and three loops (D, anti-codon, and T loops). Lineage: Eukaryota; Metazoa; Chordata; Mammalia; Eulipotyphla; Erinaceidae. The record is from Rfam by way of RNAcentral.